Non-coding RNA from Arabidopsis thaliana (thale cress), 190 nucleotides. RefSeq annotates it as other RNA. NCBI's taxonomy places the organism in Eukaryota, Viridiplantae, Streptophyta, Magnoliopsida, Brassicales, Brassicaceae. The record is from RefSeq. The transcript has a single exon.
GGCUCUUGGUCAUCUGGAUUCUCUUCAUCUUCUGUCUCUGUUCCUUCUUGUUCUCGUUGCACUGCUCGAGCAAUUGCGGAUUCCAACCUUGUGCUUACAGUUUCCCAUGACACAAGCUUUUCCAUGAAUGUAUUUAUGUCCGCCUUCUUAUCUUUCUUGAGGAAGAUGAAUUCACCGAAGAUCCAACUUG